GGGAAACACAGAGAAAGAGAGAGAGAAGGCACAGCUCCAUUCUGUGGUCUGCAUUACCGAAUCUCUCACUUCCCAGCUCCUUAGCUAGCAAUGGCGGUAAUGCUUAGAUCUCUGCUCAGUAUCUUGCUCGCCACCCUCAUUUUCUCCCAGAUUACAGGUACUAUAACUUCUCUCUAGAUCUAAAACUAGCAUACCAUUUCUUAUAUCUACUCUGUUUUUAUGCUGGAUUUUCAUUUCUUGUGCUUAUAAACUUCUGGGUUUUGAUUUUCUGUACCGGUUGAUCUUGAAUCUUGAAAAUCUUUCAACAAUUUUUUUUUUUCUGGUUCAUUAUCACAGUUGAGGUCUCAGCAGCAACCAUAACACUAUACAACAAGUGCAGCCACCCAGUGUGGCCAGGCAUUCAACCAAGCGCAGGGAGGCCUCUCUUAGCUCGCGGUGGCUUCAAGCUCCUACCCAACAAGGCCUAUUCCCUCAACCUCCCACCUCUCUGGUCCGGACGCUUCUGGGGUCGCCACGGUUGCAAAUUCGACGCCUCAGGCCGUGGUCACUGCGCUACAGGAGAUUGUGGUGGUGCCCUUUACUGCAAUGGCAUGGGAGGUACCCCUCCAGCCACCUUAGCAGAAAUCACCUUGGGAAAUGACCAAGAUUUCUACGAUGUCAGCCUUGUAGAUGGCUACAA
This 679-nucleotide unclassified non-coding RNA is filed under the name Hevea brasiliensis (rubber tree). Lineage: Eukaryota; Viridiplantae; Streptophyta; Magnoliopsida; Malpighiales; Euphorbiaceae. The record is from RNAcentral.